Molecule: ribosomal RNA, 253 nt
Filed under: uncultured bacterium
Lineage: Bacteria
Description: partial 16S ribosomal RNA
Rfam family: Bacterial small subunit ribosomal RNA
Source: RNAcentral
UACGUAGGUGGCAAGCGUUGUCCGGAUUUAUUGGGCGUAAAGCGCGCGCAGGCGGUCCUUUAAGUCUGAUGUGAAAGCCCACGGCUCAACCGUGGAGGGUCACUGGAAACUGAGGGACUUGAGUGCAGAAGAGGAAAGCGGAAUUCCACGUGUAGCGGUGAAAUGCGUAGAGAUGUGGAGGAACACCAGUGGCGAAGGCGGCUUUCUGGUCUGUAACUGACGCUGAGGCGCGAAAGCGUGGGGAGCAAACAGG